Molecule: ribosomal RNA, 303 nt
Filed under: uncultured Gammaproteobacteria bacterium
Lineage: Bacteria; Pseudomonadati; Pseudomonadota; Gammaproteobacteria
Description: bacterial SSU rRNA
Rfam family: Bacterial small subunit ribosomal RNA
Source: RNAcentral
GAGUUUGAUCGUGGCUCAGAGUGAACGCUGGCGGCAUGCCUAACACAUGCAAGUCGAACGGUAACGGGGCCCGCAAGGGUGCCGACGAGUGGCGGACGGGUGAGGAAUACAUCGGAAUCUGCCCGGUUGUGGGGGAUAACGUAGGGAAACUUACGCUAAUACCGCAUACGACCGAGAGGUGAAAGCGGGGGGGUCGCAAGACCUCGCGCGAUCGGAUGAGCCGAUGUCGGAUUAGCUAGUUGGCGGGUAAGAGCCCACCAAGGCGACGAUCCGUAGCUGGUCUGAGAGGAUGAUCAGCCACAC